Long non-coding RNA from Thunnus maccoyii (southern bluefin tuna), 3052 nucleotides. RefSeq lists it as uncharacterized. The record is from RefSeq and is a predicted model, not a curated record. NCBI's taxonomy places the organism in Eukaryota, Metazoa, Chordata, Actinopteri, Scombriformes, Scombridae. The transcript is spliced from 2 exons.
CACACACACACACACACACACACACACACACACACAAAGUAUAACAAUAAUUAUCAUUCCUCCUGCUCAGAGGGGAUAUCCUGCUGGCCCCCAGCCACAGCGGCUCAAUAUCAGGUGUACGUGCAAGAACAGUCGCUCGCAGCUCCAGGGUGAACCCUCUCAUCUUGGAAGAAACCCCAUCAGGUCUUACCCACCCUUUUUAUACAGAGCAAGGGUGAAGUCACGUCUGAGAAGGCAGCAAUAAUGAGAACAGAGACAUGGCUGCUUUGGGUCACGUACACGCUGGAGGAGGCAUUUUGGUUCCUCAAAAGUGAAACUCUAAAUUUAGAAGAAGAAUGUUCUGUUUCGAAUUUGCUGUACUGUAAAGGAAAUAAAAACUGCCACUCUGCUUGAAUACUAAGAUUGUUACAGCUGAAUUUUAAAUGUAAGAACAUAAAAAAACAAAGGCUUUAGCAUGUCGUAUUAAAGCUAGGAGAGCCAAUCAAGUUUUUUGUAUGUAUUUUACAACCGAACCAGUAAUAAAUCACAUAUUACACCACAUCUAUGACUGUUAAAAUCACAGACACUAUCAGAUACUCUUCUGUCGUAAAUAGCUUGUUAUAUCAUCACUAUAUCUAAUUCGAUACACCAGAGUACAGUGCGGAUCUUUUAAGCCAGAUCCCACAGAUGGAAAAGUAUAUGAAUCAUUUUUUCACAGAGAUUGAAAAGCCAAAGUGACGCAAACAAGGACUAAAAGAGCUAAAUUUCAGUGUUCCAAUUCUCUGAAGUCGGUCUAAGCAGCUGAUACACUGACUUAAAGUUUGUGGUCACCCUGUAACGUUUUGGUUUGAAUCCCAAGUAAUGUAACAGUUUGAUGUAAACAUGAAUUGUAAAUACACAGAAAUAUACUGUAAGUUAGGGAAAAGUACUAUUACUGUGUUGACUAUUAACUUAAGGGGAAUUAUUUAGAUUUCACAGGAAAUUAUCUACAGUCCAGGGCUACAGUAUAUCUCCUACACAGUUCUUUACAUAUGAAUGUUAAACUACUCAAAUUAAAGCUGAGACUUCGUAUUUUAAUGUAGUAUCCUUUAUUUUAUUUGAAAUUGAAUGUGCUGAAGCACACAACCUGAAGAAGAAACAAAGUGUAACUGCCCAAAUACUUAAACCAAAUACUUAAAUUUGACCCCUGUAGUAGAAAACAUACUGUAUUUAGGAUAUAAUUGGUGUAAAUGGUUGAUCUUACACUUGCACCAGGCCUUCAUUAAAACAGAAAGAGACCCAUUAGUACAUGAGACCUUACUGAUUAGGAAGUCCUUAAAUACAAUUAUUUUAGGAAACAUUGUAUCAUAGAAGGCAAAUGUCAGCUCAUGGCAGAUAAAAGGUAAAUUAUUAGUGAACAAUUAGUUUGAAGGUAGAAGAACAAAUCACUGCACUCCACUAAAGACAAAAAAAAGAGAGCUGAGGGUUCAUGUCUCCACAAUCAGAUUCUAAAAAGUACAAAAAUGUUACUUUUUGAACAAUUUGUCUGACAGAGAAACUGCCAAACACAUAUUUGACAUAAAAGAUCAAAAGGGAUUUGGUUGUUGGUUAAACUACAAAACACUGCAGUGAAAAGUAUUGACAUCAUCAGGGAGCAUGUGACCACUGACGCUCACAAACACUCCGGAUGAAAACAGUUGAAAUGAGCAACUCAGAUCACACAAACACUCACAUGAUUGUUGGUAUUUAUGUAUAAACAGCGAGUUUAACAAAUUCCUCAUGCUGUUUAUGUAUGUGCAUAUAUUUUCAGACUUAAUGGUUUAAUUUAUGUGGAUAAUUAGUGUCUGACAUAUUGUAUUUCCUACUUUAUACUGUUAUUGGUUGUGUCAAUGUUUCACAGUAAUGGGAUCAAAAGGAAACUUGUCAGUGAGAAAUCUGUGUAUUACUGAAAGAGUAAUAAUACAUUUUGGUGCCACUAUGACGCAUUUAUGAUGGAUAACAGUCAUUUUAAUUGUGAAAGGAAAGAGAAAGGAGAGAAGAGGCAGAAAGUGGGUAUUUGGGGAGGAGAGGCUUCCAAGGGCUUCAUUGUUUCAGGAAUAUAAACAUUCAGAGCAGCUGCACCACUGGACCUCCCUAACCCGCCUCUCCUGAGUUUCCUGAACAGGCACGAACACACCCUCACACACACACACGCACACACACAUUCACACACAUGUGAGUAAGGUCAGCAGAGCUAUAUUUAGCAGUUAGCCGUUAAUCGCUGUGCUGCAGUGCCUCUAUAAAGCCUGGCUACACGCUCCAGUCCACUAAUACUCAACUGAGCGGACUAGACAUCACACUGUUACACUCUGCGUGUCAGACCUACAAAUCGGCCAUCAAAGGAUGAAACGCAGGCAGUUGCUUCUCUCCCUGCCUCUCUUACCCACCAUUACUGAGACGCUGGAGGACUCACCCGUCCAUCUCUCACCCUGCCAGUCUACCCAGAGCUCCCAGUCUCUAGAGGACUACAUGACCAGUAUACAGGCUCUUGCCCGCCCCGUGGAACCCCCGAGCUGCGGCCCCGUCAGGCUCCAGAGGUCCCCCAGGCUACGGCAGUUCUCAAAGGCUCAGAUGAAGCUCUCUGUGUCGGCCUCUCUUCCUCGCGGGUCUCCCCGCACUCUAAGGACUUCCAGAGCUUCCAGUCUGAGUCUGAACAGCACAGAGGAUUUUUCUCUCAAAAUGGGCAGAGAACGAGACUGCAGGGGCAAAGACCCCGUAGACUGGCUGUUUGGACAGAUUCGGACUUAAAGAGAUACAGACAGAUACGGACUUGAUGAGAUAUGUUGUUGAGAGGAGCCCUGCAGGCACUUUGGUGGAAUGUCUCAUAAACAAAAAAGGUCGGAAGAAUCUGUUUAUGAACGUUACAACAAUGCGAUGAAUGAUGGGACUAAUUAUGAUGGAUGAACAAAGAGAAAAACACCACAUGGCUUUGAGGAAAGUGAAGAUCUAUUUAUUUCUAUGCACUGAGGACUCAAGUCUAUGUUUACAUUGUUUAAUAUUUUCUAAGAAUGUAUAGUUUAUUGUUUCUAAUAAAAUACUAAAAUAAUCAUGAAAA